RNAcentral lists this ribosomal RNA (567 nucleotides) under Poropteropis papillosus. Its description in RNAcentral is "SSU rRNA". It matches the Rfam family "Eukaryotic small subunit ribosomal RNA", at positions 30 to 579 of the family's 1831-position model. The record is from RNAcentral. Lineage: Eukaryota; Metazoa; Arthropoda; Insecta; Coleoptera; Curculionidae.
GCUUGUCUCAAAGAUUAAGCCAUGCAUGUCUCAGUACAAGCCAAAUUAAGGUGAAACCGCGAAAGGCUCAUUAAAUCAGUUAUGGUUCCUUAGAUCGUACCCACAAUUACUUGGAUAACUGUGGUAAUUCUAGAGCUAAUACAUGCAAACAGAGCUCCGACCGGAGACGGAAGGAGUGCUUUUAUUAGAUCAAAACCAAUCGGUGGCGGGCUCGUCAUCGUACAACUUGGUGACUCUGAAUAACUUUACGCUGAUCGCAUGGUCAUCGCACCGGCGACGCAUCUUUCAAAUGUCUGCCUUAUCAACUGUCGAUGGUAGGUUCUGCGCCUACCAUGGUUGUAACGGGUAACGGGGAAUCAGGGUUCGAUUCCGGAGAGGGAGCCUGAGAAACGGCUACCACAUCCAAGGAAGGCAGCAGGCGCGCAAAUUACCCACUCCCGGCACGGGGAGGUAGUGACGAAAAAUAACGAUACGGGACUCAUCCGAGGCCCCGUAAUCGGAAUGAGUACACUCUAAACCCUUUAACGAGGAUCAAUUGGAGGGCAAGUCUGGUGCCAGCAGCCGCGG